GUCCCAAGGGGUAGUGGUCUACACUGACUUUUUGUAUCACAGCCCUGCUUGGGAC
RNAcentral lists this microRNA precursor (55 nucleotides) under Mesocestoides corti. Its description in RNAcentral is "microRNA mco-mir-2b precursor". Its record names the gene mco-mir-2b. Lineage: Eukaryota; Metazoa; Platyhelminthes; Cestoda; Cyclophyllidea; Mesocestoididae. The record is from miRBase by way of RNAcentral.